UCCGCCUGGGGAGUACGGUCGCAAGGCUGAGACUCAAAGGAAUUGACGGGGGCCCGCACAAGCGGUGGAGCAUGUGGUUCAAUUCGACGCAACGCGAAGAACCUUACCCGGACUCGAAAUGUGGCCGGCCACUCCAGAGAUGGAGUUUUCCCGCAAGGGACGGCUGUAUAGGUGCUGCAUGGCUGUCGUCAGCUCGUGUCGUGAGAUGUUGGGUUAAGUCCCGCAACGAGCGCAACCCUUACCCUUAGUUGCUCGUCCGCAAGGAAAGCACCCUAAGGGAACCGCCUCGGACAACGGGGAGGAAGGUGGGGAUGACGUCAAGUCCUCAUGGCCUUUAUGCCCAGGGCUACACACGUGCUACAAUGGCCGGUACAAAGCGUCGCGAACCCGCGAGGGGGAGCCAAUCGCCAAAAACCGGUCUCAGUUCGGAUUGCAGUCUGCAACUCGACUGCAUGAAGCUGGAAUCGCUAGUAAUCGCGUAUCAGAACGACGCGGUGAAUACGUUCCCGGGCCUUGUACACACCGCCCGUCAAAUCACGAAAGUGGGUUGUACUGGAAGUCGCAAUUCUAACCGCAAGGAAGAUAACGCCUAAGGUAUGACUCAUGAUUGGGGUUAAGUCGUAAC
This 625-nucleotide ribosomal RNA is filed under the name uncultured bacterium. Its description in RNAcentral is "bacterial SSU rRNA". It matches the Rfam family "Bacterial small subunit ribosomal RNA", at positions 868 to 1492 of the family's 1533-position model. The record is from RNAcentral.